AUGGAGUUUUGGACACAAAUUUUAGAUCUCCCUCCAUACCAGAAAAUUGUUGGCAGGAGAGAAGUUUCACGUCAACCUCCACCGCCGUUGCGGCCAGCUCCCGAUUCCGGCCGUCCCCACCGCCGCCGACCAGCCGGCCGACGUCCCUAUGCUUCCUUGCCUCAUCGGCCAUUGCGCCCCUCGAGCUCAUGGUUGGCCGUGGUAGCUCCACCAUGGAUGCGGGCUCGAGGUCGCCACCUGGGCCCGACAGCCGUCGUGCCCCUCAAGCUCCUGGGUGGCCGCAGCAGCUCCGCCAUGGAUGUGGGCUCAAGGUCGCAGCCAGGGUCAGAUGACCAUCGAGCAACGGAAGUGGUGGAGGCUGGGGCGGCUGCUUGUGUGGGUGAUUUGGGGGAAGAAGAAGACCAUGGAAAAAAGAGAAAGGAAACAAAUAAAAGCACCGAUAGAUGGAAUGUUCGUUUUUACUGUAGGAAUUUGCGGUAUCUGUUCUACCGUAGCCUGUGCGGUACCGCAAAUCAGUUUUAA
Molecule: ribosomal RNA, 522 nt
Filed under: Triticum aestivum (bread wheat)
Lineage: Eukaryota; Viridiplantae; Streptophyta; Magnoliopsida; Poales; Poaceae
Description: partial small subunit ribosomal RNA
Source: RNAcentral